This 756-nucleotide ribosomal RNA is filed under the name uncultured Algibacter sp. Its description in RNAcentral is "bacterial SSU rRNA". It matches the Rfam family "Bacterial small subunit ribosomal RNA", at positions 97 to 858 of the family's 1533-position model. Lineage: Bacteria; Pseudomonadati; Bacteroidota; Flavobacteriia; Flavobacteriales; Flavobacteriaceae. The record is from RNAcentral.
GGCGCACGGGUGCGUAACGCGUAUACAAUCUACCUUUUGCUAAGGGAUAGCCCAGAGAAAUUUGGAUUAAUACCUUAUAGUAUGCAGACUUCUCAUGGAGAUUGCAUUAAAGAUUACGGCAAAAGAUGAGUAUGCGUCCUAUUAGUUUGUUGGUGUGGUAACGGCACACCAAGACUACGAUAGGUAGGGGCCCUGAGAGGGGGAUCCCCCACACUGGUACUGAGACACGGACCAGACUCCUACGGGAGGCAGCAGUGAGGAAUAUUGGACAAUGGAGGCAACUCUGAUCCAGCCAUGCCGCGUGCAGGAAGACUGCCCUAUGGGUUGUAAACUGCUUUUAUACAGGAAGAAACACUCCCUCGUGAGGGAGCUUGACGGUACUGUAAGAAUAAGGAUCGGCUAACUCCGUGCCAGCAGCCGCGGUAAUACGGAGGAUCCAAGCGUUAUCCGGAAUCAUUGGGUUUAAAGGGUCCGUAGGUGGAUAAUUAAGUCAGAGGUGAAAGUUUGCAGCUCAACUGUAAAAUUGCCUUUGAUACUGGUUAUCUUGAGUUAUUGUGAAGUAGUUAGAAUAUGUAGUGUAGCGGUGAAAUGCAUAGAUAUUACAUAGAAUACCAAUUGCGAAGGCAGAUUACUAACAAUAUACUGACACUGAUGGACGAAAGCGUGGGUAGCGAACAGGAUUAGAUACCCUGGUAGUCCACGCCGUAAACGAUGGAUACUAGCUGUUGGGCUUCGGCUCAGUGGCUAAGCGAAAGU